Molecule: non-coding RNA, 2085 nt
Organism: Ceratotherium simum simum (southern white rhinoceros)
Lineage: Eukaryota; Metazoa; Chordata; Mammalia; Perissodactyla; Rhinocerotidae
Source: RefSeq, a predicted model, not a curated record
AUGCAGUUUAUGUUGCUUUUUAGUCGUCAGGGAAAGCUUCGACUGCAGAAAUGGUAUGUCCCACUAUCAGACAAAGAGAAGAAAAAGAUCACAAGAGAACUUGUUCAAACCGUCUUAGCACGGAAACCUAAAAUGUGCAGCUUUCUUGAGUGGCGAGAUCUGAAGAUUGUUUACAAAAGAUAUGCUAGUCUGUAUUUCUGCUGUGCUAUUGAGGAUCAGGACAAUGAACUAAUUACCCUGGAAAUAAUUCAUCGUUAUGUGGAAUUACUUGACAAGUAUUUUGGCAGUGUGUGUGAACUUGAUAUCAUCUUUAAUUUUGAGAAAGCUUAUUUUAUUUUGGAUGAGUUUCUUUUGGGAGGGGAAGUUCAGGAAACAUCCAAGAAAAAUGUCCUUAAAGCAAUUGAGCAGGCUGAUCUACUGCAGGAGAGCCAGAAUGAAGAAUGGGGAGGUUUGUCUGAGGAUAUCUUAUGAUAAAGAGCAGUCUAAGGCUUUAGUCCCUUUGACCCCCAACUUAUUUAUUGGAAGCUGAAACCCCACGUAGUGUUCUUGAAGAAAUUGGACUGACAUAACUCUCCUCCCUUGUUGAUGACUUCUUGUGGCAUUUCACACACUGUAGAUGGUCACUGCCUUCAUGUCCAUGUUAGCUAAUCGUGUAAGAUGAUGUCUUGUCAGUAUUACUGUUUUGCUAAGCUGCUUCAUUCAGGCCUACACAAGUUUUUUUUUUUUAAGGGAACUUUGGCUAAUCAAGUGGUAACUUAAGGGACUUAAAUAUCAAUUAGAAUGAUGCAGAAAAAGCAAAGUACCUUUUCUGAAUAUUUUAAAGUUUAUAGGUCUAUUUCUCUAUGUGUAUCUAUGAAAAUGACACAAUCAGGCAAUAUACAUUUCUUCAUUACUGUCUUUGGCAAAGGAAACUUAAAUUAUAAAGUGAAACCUGGUUUCAUGAAACCAAAGACUCGUGCAGUAUUUCAGUAUAUAUGAGAAUAAAGGGAAUUGAUAUGUGACAUAUCGAAUGAAAAUUUAACCAUGUUGAAACUUAAAAAAAAAAAUACCAAAUUUAUACCAAAGACCCUUAUUCGAAACUACAUACCAUAAAACAAAGGGAAUACACAGAUGACUAAACUGGAACAAUGCUGUUUUACACUAAAUAUUUUCUUAGACAUUCUGAACCGGGGACGAGGAACAGUGAUCAACCGUUUCAUAAUAGUGAGCACAUUAUUUUUAAGGCCAAGGAACAUUUGACUCCUGAGAUAAAUUAUUUGUGGUCAUAAUCAUUUAGUCACUUAGUUGGAUUGUUUUUCGUGCCCCAAAAUAAAAUGGAAAUGUUGACAACCAGGAAUUCUUCAUAACAGUAUCUUACAGAAAAUGUGUUACUCUCUUCCCAAAGUGUUGUGUAAGUCAUUAAAGCACGAAUAUUCCUUCUGGGGUGCUUGUUACAGCUAAAUUUAUUUUGCUCCCCUAUUGAUUCCCUCCACUUGUAAGUAAGUGGUGUAAACUCUGGGGCAGCUUCCUUCCCUCCCAUGGCACUGCCUAGUUAUCAGAAGUCUUAUAUAAACAGACACCACCUUUCAUAUAAAGUGAGAGUUGAAUGAAGUAAAAUGGCGUUAGUGGGGCCCUCUAUUUUUUAAAGCUCUACAGUUGUUUCCACGUCACUUUUUUACAUACUUCUAGGUAUGUAAACAUGUCUUCACGGCUUACACUUUCAUUUGUAUCUGCUGGGCUGGACUAAGCUUUGUUGUGAUUGUGACCGAUAUUCAGGUCACGUGAGCAUUGUCUUAUCACAUCGCCAAUUAGUUGUAAUAAAUGUUCAACGUACCCCACUGUAGUGUGUUUUUAUCUCUUUCCAAAAGUUUGUCAAACUAUGGAGAGCUGCUGAGGAAGAAUUUUUAAUUUUUUUUCAGUAAAAUGUUGAAAAUUCAUCUCCAUUUGAACGUGGUUGUUAAAAGCACACACACAAGAUAAUUGGUGGAAGAUUUAAGGAGUCUUCAUGUACUUAAAGCUCAUUAAAAAAUAAUGUGGAUUCCAUGCUACUGAGAGCUUAUCUACACAUUUAUUUUCGAUCAAUAAAUGCCGCUUUUAAAACCUUGA